GGAUGAACGCUGACAGAAUGCUUAACACAUGCAAGUCUACUUGAAUUUGGGUUUUUUAACUUAGAUUUGGGUGGCGGACGGGUGAGUAACGCGUAAAGAACUUGCCUCACAGCUAGGGACAACAUUUGGAAACGAAUGCUAAUACCUGAUAUUAUGAUUAUAAGGCAUCUUAGAAUUAUGAAAGCUAUAUGCGCUGUGAGAGAGCUUUGCGUCCCAUUAGCUAGUUGGAGAGGUAACGGCUCACCAAGGCGAUGAUGGGUAGCCGGCCUGAGAGGGUGAACGGCCACAAGGGGACUGAGACACGGCCCUUACUCCUACGGGAGGCAGCAGUGGGGAAUAUUGGACAAUGGACCAAGAGUCUGAUCCAGCAAUUCUGUGUGCACGAUGACGUUUUUCGGAAUGUAAAGUGCUUUCAGUUGGGAAGAAAAAAAUGACGGUACCAACAGAAGAAGUGACGGCUAAAUACGUG
This 469-nucleotide ribosomal RNA is filed under the name uncultured bacterium. RNAcentral's name for it is "partial 16S ribosomal RNA". It matches the Rfam family "Bacterial small subunit ribosomal RNA", at positions 27 to 507 of the family's 1533-position model. The record is from RNAcentral.